Molecule: ribosomal RNA, 253 nt
Filed under: uncultured bacterium
Lineage: Bacteria
Description: partial 16S ribosomal RNA
Rfam family: Bacterial small subunit ribosomal RNA
Source: RNAcentral
UACGUAGGCAGCAAGCGUUGUUCGGAAUUACUGGGCGUAAAGAGUGUGUAGGCGGUGCUCCAAGUCUGGUGUGAAAUCUCCCGGCUUAACUGGGAGGGGCCAGUGGAUACUGGAUGGCUUGAGGACAGCAGAGGUCGGUGGAAUUCCUGGUGUAGUGGUGAAAUGCGUAGAGAUCAGGAGGAACACCGGUGGCGAAGGCGGCCGACUGGACCACAACUGACGCUGAGGCGCGAAAGCUAGGGGAGCAAACAGG